UGAGGUGUUAACCAUCUGCUUCUUCUUCUUCUUCUUCUUCCUCCUCCUCUGGAUGGCUGUCUCCCUGGCACAUGUUGGCCUUGGUGGUUUCACCUUUCAGGUUUGAAGCGCACAGGCAAGAGCUGCCGUCUCCGGUGGGUGAACUACCUCCACCCCGGCCUCAAGCGCGGCCGCAUCACCGCCGACGAGGAGCGCCUCAUCCUCCACCUCCACUCCCAGUGGGGCAGCCGCUGGUCCCGCAUCGCCCGCAGCCUCCCCGGCCGCACCGACAACGAGAUCAAGAACUUCUGGCGAACCCACAUGCGCAAGAUCGCCCACCACGCCAAGAAGAAGACCAAUUCACCAUCGCCGGCGCC
This 356-nucleotide long non-coding RNA is filed under the name Oryza sativa (Asian cultivated rice). RNAcentral's name for it is "long non-coding RNA (OSAT_LNC000900)". Lineage: Eukaryota; Viridiplantae; Streptophyta; Magnoliopsida; Poales; Poaceae. The record is from RNAcentral.